GAGGGUAUGGCUCAAGGGGUAGAGUGCUUGCUUCACAUGCAUGAGGUCCUGGGUUCAAUCCCCAGAAACUUCU
This 73-nucleotide transfer RNA is filed under the name Camelus bactrianus (Bactrian camel). It matches the Rfam family "tRNA". Rfam says of the family: Transfer RNA (tRNA) molecules are approximately 80 nucleotides in length. Their secondary structure includes four short double-helical elements and three loops (D, anti-codon, and T loops). Lineage: Eukaryota; Metazoa; Chordata; Mammalia; Artiodactyla; Camelidae. The record is from Rfam by way of RNAcentral. RNAcentral also lists the same sequence under 2 other names.